UACCAGACUCCUACGGGAGGCAGCAGUGGGGGAUAUUGCACAAUGGGGGGAACCCUGAUGCAGCGACGCCGCGUGGGUGAAGGAGCGUUUCGGCGCGUAAAGCCCUAUCGGCAGGGAAGAAGGAGGACGGUACCUGACUAAGAAGCCCCGGCUAACUACGGGCCAGCAGCCGCGGUAAUACGUAGGGGGCAAGCGUUAUCCGGAUUUACUGGGUGUAAAGGGGGCGCAGGCGGCGUGUCAAGUCAGCGGUAAAAUGUCGGGGCUCAACCCCGGCCGGCCGUUGAAACUGGCGUGCUCGAGUUGGAGAGAAGUAUGCGGAAUUCGUGGUGUAGCGGUGAAAUGCAUAGAUAUCACGAAGAACCCCGAUUGCGAAGGCAGCAUACCGGCUCCACACUGACGCUGAGGCACGAAAGCGUGGGUAUCGAACAGGAUUAGAUACCCCAGUAC
This 447-nucleotide ribosomal RNA is filed under the name uncultured bacterium. RNAcentral's name for it is "partial 16S ribosomal RNA". It matches the Rfam family "Bacterial small subunit ribosomal RNA", at positions 329 to 793 of the family's 1533-position model. The record is from RNAcentral.